This 498-nucleotide ribosomal RNA is filed under the name uncultured bacterium. RNAcentral's name for it is "partial 16S ribosomal RNA". It matches the Rfam family "Bacterial small subunit ribosomal RNA", at positions 29 to 523 of the family's 1533-position model. The record is from RNAcentral.
AUUGAACGCUGGCAGCAUGCCUUACACAUGCAAGUCGAACGGUAACGCGGGGCAACCUGGCGACGAGUGGCGAACGGGUGAGUAAUAUAUCGGAACGUGCCCAGUAGUGGGGGAUAGCCCGGCGAAAGCCGGAUUAAUACCGCAUACGACCUGAGGGUGAAAGCGGGGGAUCGCAAGACCUCGCGCUAUGGGAGCGGCCGAUAUCAGAUUAGGUAGUUGGUGGGGUAAAGGCCCACCAAGCCGACGAUCUGUAGCUGGUCUGAGAAGACGACCAGCCACACUAGGACUGAGACACGGCCCAGACUCCUACGGGAGGCAGCAGUGGGGAAUUUUGGACAAUGGGCGCAAGCCUGAUCCAGCCAUGCCGCGUGCGGGAAGAAGGCCUUCGGGUUGUAAACCGCUUUUGUCAGGGAAGAAACGCUCUGGGCUAAUACCCUGGGGUAAUGGCGGUACCUGAAGAAUAAGCACCGGCUAACUACGUGCCAGCCGCCGCAGUAA